This 56-nucleotide transfer RNA is filed under the name Ictidomys tridecemlineatus (thirteen-lined ground squirrel). RNAcentral's name for it is "Spermophilus tridecemlineatus (thirteen-lined ground squirrel) tRNA". It matches the Rfam family "tRNA", at positions 9 to 63 of the family's 71-position model. Rfam says of the family: Transfer RNA (tRNA) molecules are approximately 80 nucleotides in length. Their secondary structure includes four short double-helical elements and three loops (D, anti-codon, and T loops). Further hydrogen bonds mediate the characteristic L-shaped molecular structure. tRNAs have two regions of fundamental functional importance: the anti-codon, which is responsible for specific mRNA codon recognition, and the 3' end, to which the tRNAs corresponding amino acid is attached (by aminoacyl-tRNA synthetases). tRNAs cope with the degeneracy of the genetic code in two manners: having more than one tRNA (with a specific anti-codon) for a particular amino acid; and 'wobble' base-pairing, i.e. permitting non-standard base-pairing at the 3rd anti-codon position. The record is from Rfam by way of RNAcentral. Lineage: Eukaryota; Metazoa; Chordata; Mammalia; Rodentia; Sciuridae.
AGCUGAGUGGUAGAGCGCUUGAUUAGCAUGCAUGAGGCUCUGGGUUCAACUCCCAG